CCAGUUCCAAUUCUCGGUAAUUGAGAAUAGAUCACGACAGAAAAUCGUGCUACUUGUGCAAAGAAUGCAAAAAUAGUCUCUCAGCAACGAAGUUUGGCUUAUUCGUUGCUACCAGGUAAGUGAUAAGGAUUGCACGCCUGGAGUCUCCCCAUAGAGACAGUCUUCAACGUGUAAGCCUUCAUCGUCACCGCGAUCACGACAAUUUCAGUAUAAAAACCCAGACAAUUCCUUCAGUCAGCACAGUCAGUUCACAACUGAAGCAACCAAACCAACUAAUCCAAAAUGAUGAAAUUCCUGAUCUUCGCUUUCUUCAUUGCCUUCGCCGUGGCUACCGCUUUCGCCGAGCCUGAGCCAGCUCCUCGUCCAGCUCCUCUUCCUGCUGCCUACCCUCAAGGCGGAUAUGGUUAUGGAUACGCUCCUUAUGGAGGAUAUGGUUAUGGCCCAUACUACUAAACCCCACAAAACUCCGGACAGAGAUGGAACUACAUGCAGAAACAUACAAUUUAUUUCUCAGAAUAGUGAAGUCUCACAAAUAAACUAAAUGCAAUAAUAA
Long non-coding RNA from Lutzomyia longipalpis, 553 nucleotides. RefSeq lists it as uncharacterized. The transcript has 2 exons. The record is from RefSeq and is a predicted model, not a curated record. Lineage: Eukaryota; Metazoa; Arthropoda; Insecta; Diptera; Psychodidae.